Molecule: ribosomal RNA, 254 nt
Filed under: uncultured bacterium
Lineage: Bacteria
Description: partial 16S ribosomal RNA
Rfam family: Bacterial small subunit ribosomal RNA
Source: RNAcentral
UACGGGGGGAGCAAGCGUUGUUCGGAUUUACUGGGCGUAAAGGGCGCGUAGGCGGCCAGCACAAGUCAGUUGUGAAAUCUCCGAGCUUAACUCGGAACGGUCAACUGAUACUGUGCGGCUAGAGUGCGGAAGGGGCAACUGGAAUUCUUGGUGUAGCGGUGAAAUGCGUAGAUAUCGAGAGGAACACCUGCGGCGAAGGCGGGUUGCUGGGCCAGCACUGACGCUCAUGCACGAAAGCGUGGGGAGCAAACAGG